GUGCAUCGUCGCGGCAAUGAACUCCUCGAGGUUCAACGUGCCGUUGCCAUCAGCGUCAACCUCGCCCAUCAGAUCGUGCAGCUGCUCCUCGCUCGCCUUGCAUCCCUGCUUC
This 112-nucleotide non-coding RNA is filed under the name Pycnococcus provasolii. The record is from RNAcentral. Lineage: Eukaryota; Viridiplantae; Chlorophyta; Pseudoscourfieldiophyceae; Pseudoscourfieldiales; Pycnococcaceae.